CCGCGCCGCGACUUCGAUUGCAUAAUUAUGGCGGCUAAAAAUAAACCGUCGUCACGACAGGUACGACGAUCGAUUAGAAUGGUGUUCGGUGGCGGCCGCUCCGUGUGCCCCUCUACUAGUUCCCACCGGGGGGAUGAUGAUGACGAUUGAGCGUCAACAACAAUAUUGUGUCUUUUUUGCAUUGUUAUUUAUAGAAGCAAAAAAACCUCCCUCAGCUGCUGCUGGCAGUGAUAAGUUGCUGUGAUAAGUUGCGGAAACGAAAGUGAUUCACUGAGGGACGAAAGGUUGACAGAUUUCGUGCGGUGAAAUGGUUUCAUCUACAUUGCACUUGAAGCUAACGAUAAUAGACACAGCGGCAGCAAGCAUUUUCCGCAGCUUAUGAGAGGAUAUUUGAAGAUUUGGAGGUUAUGUUUUAAACAUUGUACAAACAUAUUGAUAUAAUAAGGAUGAAUCAAGAGAUUUUUUUAUAUAAAAACUUCCAGAUAGACGAAGAGGCAGUGCGUUGUCAUGAUAGAAUAUUUCAACCUGAUGUCGGGUCAGUAGAACCCCGAUUAUCCGCGGAAUAGGCAGUUUUUAGCAUGAAAGCUAUAUUUCAACACAGAAAUCAUUAAACUAUCCAUCUCUAAAGUGUCGUACACUAGUGGCAAAAUAAUGCAAAAGCCAUGACUAAAAAAAGAGCUUGAGUCUAUCAGUCACUGACAAAUUCUGGGAAGACCUAUAGAUUUACUAUGGAACUCGCUGUCGCGAAUAAUACUCAUCGAAGAUAAUCCACUUGCGGAUAUUCGGGGUUCUCAUGUAUUAAGAGACUGGUCAGGAACAUCAUGACACGAUAGUUUUAGCACUGAAGCUUGUCAUCUUUUUUGUAGUUGAGUUAGAUUACAUUGUCCAUUGCUGUUCCGAGUUCAAAAUACAACAAUAUGUAUCCUUGCCAUCUCC
This is a long non-coding RNA of Toxorhynchites rutilus septentrionalis, 936 nucleotides long. RefSeq lists it as uncharacterized. Lineage: Eukaryota; Metazoa; Arthropoda; Insecta; Diptera; Culicidae. The record is from RefSeq and is a predicted model, not a curated record. The transcript is spliced from 3 exons.